GACGAACGCUGGCGGCGUACUUAACGCAUGCAAGUCGAACGGAAAGGCCCUGCUUUUGUGGGGUGCUCGAGUGGCGAACGGGUGAGUAACACGUGAGUAACCUGCCCUUGACUUUGGGAUAACUUCAGGAAACUGGGGCUAAUACCGGAUAGGAGCUCCUGCUGCAUGGUGGGGGUUGGAAAGUUUCGGCGGUUGGGGAUGGACUCGCGGCUUAUCAGCUUGUUGGUGGGGUAGUGGCUUACCAAGGCUUUGACGGGUAGCCGGCCUGAGAGGGUGACCGGCCACAUUGGGACUGAGAUACGGCCCAGACUCCUACGGGAGGCAGCAGUGGGGAAUAUUGCACAAUGGGCGGAAGCCUGAUGCAGCAACGCCGCGUGCGGGAUGACGGCCUUCGGGUUGUAAACCGCUUUCGCCUGUGACGAAGCGUGAGUGACGGUAAUGGGUAAAGAAGCACCGGCUAACUACGUG
This 468-nucleotide ribosomal RNA is filed under the name uncultured bacterium. RNAcentral describes it as "partial 16S ribosomal RNA". It matches the Rfam family "Bacterial small subunit ribosomal RNA", at positions 28 to 507 of the family's 1533-position model. The record is from RNAcentral.